RNAcentral lists this ribosomal RNA (497 nucleotides) under uncultured bacterium. RNAcentral's name for it is "partial 16S ribosomal RNA". It matches the Rfam family "Bacterial small subunit ribosomal RNA", at positions 28 to 507 of the family's 1533-position model. The record is from RNAcentral.
GAUGAACGCUGGCGGCGUGCCUAAUACAUGCAAGUCGAGCGAACAGACGAGGAGCUUGCUCCUCUGACGUUAGCGGCGGACGGGUGAGUAACACGUGGAUAACCUACCUAUAAGACUGGGAUAACUUCGGGAAACCGGAGCUAAUACCGGAUAACAUGUUGAACCGCAUGGUUCAACAGUGAAAGACGGUCUUGCUGUCACUUAUAGAUGGAUCCGCGCCGCAUUAGCUAGUUGGUAAGGUAACGGCUUACCAAGGCAACGAUGCGUAGCCGACCUGAGAGGGUGAUCGGCCACACUGGAACUGAGACACGGUCCAGACUCCUACGGGAGGCAGCAGUAGGGAAUCUUCCGCAAUGGGCGAAAGCCUGACGGAGCAACGCCGCGUGAGUGAAGAAGGUCUUCGGAUCGUAAACCUCUGUUAUUAGGGAAGAACAAAUGUUUAAGUAAAUAUGCACGUCUUGACGGUACCUAAUCAGAAAGCCACGGCUAACUACGUG